GACGAACGCUGGCGGCGUGCUUAACACAUGCAAGUCGAACGGAAAGGCCCCUUUGGGGGUACUCGAGUGGCGAACGGGUGAGUAACACGUGAGUAACCUGCCCUUGACUUCGGGAUAACUUCAGGAAACUGGGGCUAAUACCGGAUAGGAAUCCUUGCUGCAUGGUGGGGGUUGGAAAGCUUCGGCGGUUUUGGAUGGACUCGCGGCUUAUCAGCUUGUUGGUGGGGUAGUGGCUUACCAAGGCUUUGACGGGUAGCCGGCCCGAGAGGGCGACCGGCCACAUUGGGACUGAGAUACGGCCCAGACUCCUACGGGAGGCAGCAGUGGGGAAUAUUGCACAAUGGGCGGAAGCCUGAUGCAGCAACGCCGCGUGCGGGAUGACGGCCUUCGGGUUGUAAACCGCUUUCAGCAGGGGCGAAGCUUUUGUGACGGUACCUGCAGAAGAAGCACCGGCUAACUACGUG
This 464-nucleotide ribosomal RNA is filed under the name uncultured bacterium. RNAcentral describes it as "partial 16S ribosomal RNA". It matches the Rfam family "Bacterial small subunit ribosomal RNA", at positions 28 to 507 of the family's 1533-position model. The record is from RNAcentral.